Molecule: transfer RNA, 62 nt
Filed under: Plateros sp. UPOL A00634
Lineage: Eukaryota; Metazoa; Arthropoda; Insecta; Coleoptera; Lycidae
Description: tRNA-Phe
Source: RNAcentral
UUUUAAUAGCUUAUGUAGAGCGUAAUAUUGAAGAUAUUAAGGAAGUAUUGACUUUAAAAUGU